UGACUUUAAAGCCGCUGUAGCUGGCCUCAUGCCACUCUCGAUCCCACGGAUAAUGACAUGACGGCUGUGAUCAAACUUUCGCACCAUUGUACUACUGUACAUACAUUUUAUACAUCGAUUUUAAGCAUUUUCCAAGCAUUGCUGGCAUCUUUAUCUACCAGAUGAGCUAGGAUGGAACUUGUGGAGCCCUGAAUUAGAGACUGAGAGGUUUUAGAUAUCUGAUCCAUGGAACUAAAUGGCAGUGAUGGAGUGUUGAGAUGUCAUGAGCACAGGUCAGAUAAAGUGGCUCAAUAGAAAUGUUGUUAUCGCAAUGAGCACAGAGAGAGACGCCAAAGUCACGUAAGCCUCCAUUCCCUUGAGAUCACCAUUAAACAACAGCAGACCUCCUAUACAAUCGAUGUCAGCUGGGUCGAGAAGAAGCUCACUUAAACAUUUUGUCGGUGAUCAAUGUGACCUGAGAACAGAAGGAUAGAUCAAUGAUGAUGGUUUCUGAUUCAUCAGGGAAUAGCUGCUGUCAUUUCAACUAUUUCUGCCCAACAACACAUUCAUCGAUGCCAUCAGAUCGAAUCUGAAAACAAUGACCUGGCUGUUUAAUUUGACAUGGUACUGAAAUUGCUAAACAGUUUGGAAUAUCUAGUAUAUAUGAAGAGUUUGGUUCCAAAAUGAGAUAACUCUGUUAUGAAUGUUUUUUAUUAUGUUAUCAGGUUUUUAUUGUGUGAGUUAGCUCUAUUUUCAAGUUAUUACAGCUUGAAUAAAUAAAAAAACUGCAGUUUGAUUGCUUAUAAUUUGAAUGCACAAAAAAACUUGAUUUUUGAAACUUUUUGGAAACAAACUCUUCUUAUACUGACUGAUUUGGGGGUGUGGCCAAUAUUAAAAUAAUGAUCCAUAUUUGAUUUUUUUGUUUUUUGUUAAAGGGCUGUAAUGAUGGUAAAAACAAUAGUAACAAGUAACAAGUAACAUGUCAAAACUAUUUAAUAUUGUUCUCGGGAUACUUAUAAAGAGGAGUGUGGAUGAAGUACAUCAUUACAGAUCAUUAAAGUUGUUUUCCUUUCAAUAGAUGUUCCUCAAAGUCCAUCCCUGUUCACCUAUACAUAUAGUCUGGGUUAUAUGAAUGUUGUGUUAUCAGCCCCAGGGGAACAUUGACUUUCUGCUUCACUAGGUCAAGUCAUUACAACAACAACAAAAAUAUCCUUUGGAGUAGGAAUUUACUUGAAUGCUCACAAUAAAUUGCUGCCCUUGUG
Molecule: long non-coding RNA, 1241 nt
Organism: Triplophysa dalaica
Lineage: Eukaryota; Metazoa; Chordata; Actinopteri; Cypriniformes; Nemacheilidae
Exons: 2
Source: RefSeq, a predicted model, not a curated record